This 253-nucleotide ribosomal RNA is filed under the name uncultured bacterium. RNAcentral describes it as "partial 16S ribosomal RNA". It matches the Rfam family "Bacterial small subunit ribosomal RNA", at positions 524 to 776 of the family's 1533-position model. The record is from RNAcentral.
UACGUAGGGUGCAAGCGUUGUCCGGAAUUAUUGGGCGUAAAGAGCUCGUAGGCGGUUUGUCGCGUCGGCUGUGAAAACCUAGGGCUCAACCCUGGGCUUGCAGCCGAUACGGGCAAACUAGAAUUCGGUAGGGGAGACUGGAAUUCCUGGUGUAGCGGUGAAAUGCGCAGAUAUCAGGAGGAACACCGGUGGCGAAGGCGGGUCUCUGGACAUUUCCUGACGCUGAGGCACGAAAGCCAGGGGAGCAAACGGG